UACGGAGGGUGCAAGCGUUGUCCGGAUUUAUUGGGUUUAAAGGGUGCGUAGGCGGCCAAUUAAGUCAGUGGUGAAAGCCGAUAGCUUAACUAUCGAACUGCCAUUGAUACUGAUUGGCUUGAGUACAGUUGAGGUAGUUGGAAUGAGUAGUGUAGCGGUGAAAUGCAUAGAUAUUACUCAGAACACCGAUUGCGAAGGCAGAUUACUAAACUGAUACUGACGCUGAGGCACGAAAGUGUGGGGAUCAAAC
Molecule: ribosomal RNA, 250 nt
Filed under: uncultured bacterium
Lineage: Bacteria
Description: partial 16S ribosomal RNA
Rfam family: Bacterial small subunit ribosomal RNA
Source: RNAcentral